This 442-nucleotide ribosomal RNA is filed under the name uncultured bacterium. RNAcentral's name for it is "partial 16S ribosomal RNA". It matches the Rfam family "Bacterial small subunit ribosomal RNA", at positions 338 to 795 of the family's 1533-position model. The record is from RNAcentral.
CCUACGGGAGGCAGCAGUGGGGAAUAUUGGGCAAUGGGCGCAAGCCUGACCCAGCAACGCCGAGUGAAGGAAGAAGGCUUUCGGGUUGUAAACUUCUUUUAAGAGGGAAGAGCAGAAGACGGUACCUCUUGAAUAAGCCACGGCUAACUACGUGCCAGCAGACGCGGUAAUACGUAGGUGGCAAGCGUUGUCCGGAUUUACUGGGUGGAAAGGGCGUGCAGCCGCGAAGACAAGUCAGAUGUGAAAUCCCGCGGCUCAACCGCGGAACUGCAUUUGAAACUGUUUUUCUUGAGUACCGGAGAGGUCAUCGGAAUUCCUUGUGUAGCGGUGAAAUGCGUAGAUAUAAGGAAGAACACCAGUGGCGAAGGCGGAUGACUGGACGGCAACUGACGGUGAGGCGCGAAAGCGUGGGGAGCAAACAGGAUUAGAUACCCCGGUAGUC